RNAcentral lists this long non-coding RNA (1150 nucleotides) under Olea europaea subsp. europaea. Lineage: Eukaryota; Viridiplantae; Streptophyta; Magnoliopsida; Lamiales; Oleaceae. The record is from RNAcentral.
CUGAAAUAUGUGCUGAUUGUUUUUGAAGUAGGAACUUGAAAGCCUUGUUUGUUUGCUGUUUUACAGUAUUUGUUGGGCUUUCCCUCUACUUGUGGGACUUGCCCUUUCUUGGCCCAUUUGGGUCCAACCCACUUAAAAGCCCCAAGUCCAUUCCAAUAUAAAGGCAGAAAACGGGGCUUCAUUUCUAGACACACAAAAUUACAACAAAGGCAGAGAGCGGACGAGAGAGAGAGACUUCGGUUCUUCAGCUUCUUCUUGCCAAAGAUGGAGUCUCGUUUGUGGUCCGAUUAAGCGGAAAUUUUUGUAUGUUAUUCUUGGCGCAAAGGGCUACGUUUUGACUGGAGCCGAUCAUCUAGAUUCCUCUCCAUUUCUCUGGGCCGAACACACUAGUUUAGUGAGAUUUUCUACUUAUUAUUGUGUGUAUUUAUUUUGGAUGUUGUUGUUGGUAUCCAAGAACCAUUUGUGUUUUUGAUGCAUUGGUAACCUCUAGAUUGUGAUUUGGAGAAGGUUAACUGUAUAUCCCAUUAUUUUGAUAGUGGAUAGUUUUUAUUAGACUAGGUCUCAGGGUUUUUCCUUCACACUGAAGGGUUUUCCUAGUGAACAAAUCAUUUGUGUUCUAUCUUUAAAUUCCUACAAGUGUGUGUGAGUUGGAGUUGGAUAUUAUUGCCACAUUUUAAUUCUGCUUAUUGAAAGGGUUGAAAUUGUUUCCGUUGCUUAGUUGUGUUAUUGGUUUGACCCCAACAUUAUUGGAUUGAGAGUGAUAGCAAAGGAUCAAGACAGAUCUGUGCAGAUAAUCAGUACAAGAAAACAGACGGCCACUUAUAUUUAGAAGAAACUUGGCAUUGAUCUCGUUCUCUAUGCAAAAACAUUCGGUGAAUCAAAAGCAUCUAUGUGGAAAACAUAGGCGAGGUGUGAAAAUGAACCAACCUUGUAUCUACCAGGAUACAACUUCAGGUACCCAGAAAAGAUUCCUGUCUUCAAUUUGACCAUCUUUCUCUGCAAUUCAAUAUUGCACGUCAUGCUACCAAUCAAGAACACAUAACAGAAUCGAAUUUUUUGCCUGUAAAUUUUGCGAUAAUAAGAUAUCUAAUUUUGCAAUGUAACUCUGGUUGAAUCCGAGAUACAUGCAAAUUGAAACGUACUGUCUAAG